This 401-nucleotide ribosomal RNA is filed under the name uncultured eukaryote. Its description in RNAcentral is "bacterial SSU rRNA". It matches the Rfam family "Eukaryotic small subunit ribosomal RNA", at positions 13 to 394 of the family's 1831-position model. The record is from RNAcentral.
CCUGACGGUAGUCGUAUGCUCGUCUCCGAGACUAAGCCAUGCAAGUCCAAGUACACGUCCUUGAACGACGGAAACUGCGAACGGCUCAUUAAAUCAGUUGCGAUCUACUCGGCGUUCCGCGCCGCCGGAUAACCGUAGUAAUUCGUAGGGCUAAUACGUGCGAAGCGCCGAAGCCGCGAGGCGACGGGCGUUCUCGCCGGAUGUAGGAACCGACCCGGGGACCGCCGGGGCAACCCGGCGCCCCCGAGACGGGGCGAACCACGGUGAAAUGACGGAUCGUCGGCCCCGCGCCGGCGACUCGCCGAAUGAGUUUCUGACCUAUCAACUCGAGACGGCGGGGUAGAGGCCCGCCGCGGUAACGACGGGUAACGGGGAAUCAGGGUUCGAUUCCGGAGAGGGAG